RNAcentral lists this long non-coding RNA (598 nucleotides) under Spirodela polyrhiza (greater duckweed). RNAcentral describes it as "long non-coding RNA (SPOL_LNC001361)". The record is from RNAcentral. Lineage: Eukaryota; Viridiplantae; Streptophyta; Magnoliopsida; Alismatales; Araceae.
AGAAAUUUCAUAAUAAAUUAAACUCGUGAAAACAUUCUUAAUGCUUUCCCAAGAAAAUAUUUUUACAACUUCCCAAGCUGUAAAAUAUUAAAUGAUGAUCUUAUAAUAUUAAGCUUAAACCUUGAGUCUUACUAUUCAAGUUGGAUUUUAAGAUAGACCAUGCAUGAGUAGUAACGAACUUUAUAGCUAGAGAAAUGAGUCACUAAUCUCUAGAAGACUUGAAAGCAUGCAGCUUCUUGAUGUAUCUUGAAUUACAAAAAAAUACAUUUAGAGAAAGCUAACAUGUCAAAUCAACAUUUUAAAUUUUAAAAACGUUAAAUAAAACCUUACAUUAAAACAAAAUAAAAUGUCCCAUUUUCAACUUUUACCUACCCACACAUUACCCCAAGGCAUUGGCUAGAUAUAGUCAACUUGCUUAAUUAUGUUUUCCAAUCACAAAUAAGUAAGGAGAAUCACCAAAGGGUUGAUUCUAAAGAGAAGAAUUUGGAAUCAUAAUAAAUUGGCUUAAACCCUACACAAGUAAACUCUUGGGUAGACUCAUGUGAGUAGAGUCAUUGAAUCAACAUGGCUAAAACAUAGUCAAAAUUUAAGAGAGAGA